Molecule: ribosomal RNA, 452 nt
Filed under: uncultured bacterium
Lineage: Bacteria
Description: bacterial SSU rRNA
Rfam family: Bacterial small subunit ribosomal RNA
Source: RNAcentral
UACGGAAGGCAGCAGUGGGGAAUAUUGCACAAUGGGCGCAAGCCUGAUGCAGCCAUGCCGCGUGUAUGAAGAAGGCCUUCGGGUUGUAAAGUACUUUCAGUCGUGAGGAAGGUGUUAAGGUUAAUAACCUUAGCAAUUGACGUUAGCGACAGAAGAAGCACCGGCUAACUCCGUGCCAGCAGCCGCGGUAAUACGGAGGGUGCGAGCGUUAAUCGGAAUUACUGGGCGUAAGGGCACGCAGGCGGUUAAUUAAGUUGGAUGUGAAAUCCCCGGGCUUAACCUGGGAAUGGCAUUCAAGACUGGUUAGCUAGAGUCUUGUAGAGGGGGUAGAAUUCCAUGUGUAGCGGUGAAAUGCGUAGAGAUGUGGAGGAAUACCGGUGGCGAAGGCGGCCCCUGGACAAAGACUGACGCUCAUGUGCGAAAGCGUGGGGAGCAAACAGGGAUUAGAUACC